UCGAUAACGUCAGGAACGAUAACUUGUGGCGUAACGUCAUUCGGUAUGUUACCUUAAAGGGGGUUACUGAGCAUGAAGGAUAAGACACAAGCUUAUCAAACUUUUGAAUGUCUACUCAAUAUGUAUAAUAUGAUAUAUAAAAACAGAUGAAUCAGGUAACUUUCAAUAAAGCCUAUGGCUCAUAUGGGAGUCCUUGAAUGAAGAUCGGACCGAUAUGAAAGAGGCAAAGUAUUAAUCUAAUUUUCAUUUACCUCCUAUUUAUGAACUCAAAUAGGUUGAUA
This 281-nucleotide long non-coding RNA is filed under the name Mytilus galloprovincialis (Mediterranean mussel). Lineage: Eukaryota; Metazoa; Mollusca; Bivalvia; Mytilida; Mytilidae. The record is from RNAcentral.